UCCCUGGUGGCUCAGAGGUUAAAGCAUCUGCCUGCAAUGCAGAAUCUCAAGUUCGAUCCCUGGCUUGGGAA
This 71-nucleotide transfer RNA is filed under the name Bos taurus (domestic cattle). It matches the Rfam family "tRNA". From Rfam's summary of the family: Transfer RNA (tRNA) molecules are approximately 80 nucleotides in length. Their secondary structure includes four short double-helical elements and three loops (D, anti-codon, and T loops). Lineage: Eukaryota; Metazoa; Chordata; Mammalia; Artiodactyla; Bovidae. RNAcentral also lists the same sequence under 1 other name. The record is from Rfam by way of RNAcentral.